GCAGUCGAGCGACAGAUAGGAGCUUGCUCCUUUGACGUUAGCGGCGGACGGGUGAGUAACACGUGGAUAACCUACCUAUAAGACUGGGAUAACUUCGGGAAACCGGAGCUAAUACCGGAUAACAUAUUGAACCGCAUGGUUCAAUAGUGAAAGGCGGCUUUGCUGUCACUUAUAGAUGGAUCCGCGCCGUAUUAGCUAGUUGGUAAGGUGACGGCUUACCAAGGCAACGAUACGUAGCCGACCUGAGAGGGUGAUCGGCCACACUGGAACUGAGACACGGUCCAGACUCCUACGGGAGGCAGCAGUAGGGAAUCUUCCGCAAUGGGCGAAAGCCUGACGGAGCAACGCCGCGUGAGUGAUGAAGGUCUUCGGAUCGUAAAACUCUGUUAUCAGGGAAGAACAAAUGUGUAAGUAACUGUGCACAUCUUGACGGUACCUGAUCAGAAAGCCACGGCUAACUACGUGCCAGCAGCCGCGGUAAUACGUAGGUGGCAAGCGUUAUCCGGAAUUAUUGGGCGUAAAGCGCGCGUAGGCGGUUUUUUAAGUCUGAUGUGAAAGCCCACGGCUCAACCGUGGAGGGUCAUUGGAAACUGGAAAACUUGAGUGCAGAAGAGGAAGUGGAAUUCCAUGUGUAGCGGUGAAAUGCGCAGAGAUAUGGAGGAACACCAG
This 669-nucleotide ribosomal RNA is filed under the name Staphylococcus warneri. RNAcentral describes it as "bacterial SSU rRNA". It matches the Rfam family "Bacterial small subunit ribosomal RNA", at positions 57 to 712 of the family's 1533-position model. Lineage: Bacteria; Bacillati; Bacillota; Bacilli; Caryophanales; Staphylococcaceae. The record is from RNAcentral.